Non-coding RNA from Myotis lucifugus (little brown bat), 99 nucleotides. Lineage: Eukaryota; Metazoa; Chordata; Mammalia; Chiroptera; Vespertilionidae. The record is from Rfam.
CCCGAGUGCCCCCGGGCCGCCUUUCUAAAUAUAAGUCUAAUAAAAAUAAACGGCAGGGACCGGAGGGGCAGGGCCACGUGACCGCUCCCGAGCCGCUCG